RNAcentral lists this ribosomal RNA (263 nucleotides) under uncultured bacterium. RNAcentral describes it as "partial 16S ribosomal RNA". It matches the Rfam family "Bacterial small subunit ribosomal RNA", at positions 793 to 1055 of the family's 1533-position model. The record is from RNAcentral.
GUCCACGCCGUAAACGAUGGGUACUAGGUGUAGGAGGUAUCGACCCCUUCUGUGCCGUCGUUAACACAAUAAGUACCCCGCCUGGGGAGUACGGUCGCAAGACUAAAACUCAAAGGAAUUGACGGGGGCCCGCACAAGCAGCGGAGCAUGUGGUUUAAUUCGAAGCAACGCGAAGAACCUUACCUAGACUUGACAUCUCCUGAAUUACCCGUAAUGGGGGGAAGCUCUUCGGAGCAGGAAGACAGGUGGUGCAUGGUUGUCGU